GCUCUCUUAGCUCAGUUGGUAGAGCAAAUGACUCUUAAUCAUUGGGCCCAGGGUUCGAGUCCCUGAGAGAGCA
This 73-nucleotide transfer RNA is filed under the name Bacteroidales bacterium. Its description in RNAcentral is "tRNA-Lys". It matches the Rfam family "tRNA". Rfam says of the family: Transfer RNA (tRNA) molecules are approximately 80 nucleotides in length. Lineage: Bacteria; Pseudomonadati; Bacteroidota; Bacteroidia; Bacteroidales. The record is from RNAcentral.